This is a long non-coding RNA of Amblyraja radiata (thorny skate), 379 nucleotides long. RefSeq lists it as uncharacterized. NCBI's taxonomy places the organism in Eukaryota, Metazoa, Chordata, Chondrichthyes, Rajiformes, Rajidae. The record is from RefSeq and is a predicted model, not a curated record. The transcript has 3 exons.
AAAUCACAGAGUAUACCCAUUUAAAGCAUUCUUGUCACUAACACAAUACUCUUGUCAACCUGUCGUUCUAUCAAUCAUAAACUGUUGAUCACAAACAUUGAAACAGGAACUUAGUCAAGAAGCACAACAUGUACAAUUCUGUCUUAACAAUGUAAUCUUCAGUCAGCUACCAACCAGAAGUUCCUAUUUACAGAGACUACUAACUCCAAAGGAAACACAUCCUCUCUCAAGGCUUCUGUAAAGCUAGCACCUUCUCAGGAAAUGCAUCCUCUCUCACUAUUGUAGAUGGUAUUCUACUUGGCACAUAACUGGAAGCAGCUUGAAUGCAGCUUGAAUGCUGACCUCCAAUUUCCUGAUUCCCACAUCUUUUACACCACAG